Non-coding RNA from Tritrichomonas musculus, 75 nucleotides. NCBI's taxonomy places the organism in Eukaryota, Parabasalia, Tritrichomonadida, Tritrichomonadidae. The record is from the annotation of a GenBank genome assembly.
GGUUGUUUGGACCGAGCGGUCGAAGGCACUAGACCUAGAAUCUAGGAAUCAUGGGUUCAACUCCCAUAACAACCA